Molecule: RNA transcript, 916 nt
Organism: Electrophorus electricus (electric eel)
Lineage: Eukaryota; Metazoa; Chordata; Actinopteri; Gymnotiformes; Gymnotidae
Source: RefSeq, a predicted model, not a curated record
CUCAGCCGUUACCUGGGCACGCAACACGUUUGCCUUGAGUUGCUUCUGAACGAAGAUCGUGGAUGUGCAACCUGUAGCUCACAGGCCACUCGGAGCAUGAGCCGAGCAGGGAGAUCUGCUGCCUGUGUCUUCAGCACACAGAUCACAGCUUUACAACACAGACUCUACAAAUUCUGCCUGUGUUAAGCUUGAGCAGGCUGAAAUUCUACCAGUAACACGAGGGUGAGACAUAGCAAAGGAUAUCCUUACUUGCUGGGACAUGGCCCGACAAUUUGUGAAUAAUGAAAAUGAAGUCCAGAAUAUGACCUUGAAGAAUAUAUUUUACAGUCCUGUGUCUACUGGAGUCAUUUGUCACGUGCUGACGGUAACUGAAUGCCAGACAGGACGACGUCUCCCUGCAUUCAGUGACGGAUGUUAUCCUGCAACAGCCGUUCAUCCUCUGCGCACAUUUGCGUUUACAGCUGAGGCAUUAACUAUAAUAUUUGGUUAACGUUGAAAAUAUUACAUCAUAUUUUUAAAUGACCACAGAUAAUUUGUUCAAUCGGCCUACACAAUCACUACCUCCACCUGGGCUGGGAUGUUGACUCAGUGUUUCUCAGUGUUUAGUGUCCUUGCACAGACAAUAUGUGAGUGUUUGCUUGCAUGCUCUAACUUCACCAUCAAACCCAACACUACAGCGAACAAACUGUUUAAAAGCAUUUUCCAGUCAACACACUGAGCUAGCGCUCACUUAAACAAGGAGGUGCUGUAAUUCCACAACAUGGUGCACAGGCACCACCAAACAUCCGUGAUUAAAAGAAAACAUUUGUCAUUACCACCUCACACGUUUUCCACAUUUGACUGGACAGCAAUAAUCCAAACUAUAAUAAUCCCACUCUGUUUAGAGAGGACAGUAUAUCCUGCAAUUCGUCUGCAU